UUGUUGCAGUUAAAAAGCUCGUAGUUGAAAUUCUGUCUGUAAGACUUCUAGUUCUUUUGAAUGGGAAGAUCUGCAGGCAUCCGCUUGUGAAUAUAAAUCAUCCUUCACCGGUUGACUAUAUGAGCAAGCAUUUUACCUUGAGAAAAACAGAGUGUUCCAGUCAGGUUUGUCCGGAAUGCAUUAGCAUGGAAUAAUAGAAUAUGACUGAAGUCAAUUUAUUGGUUUACGAUUUCAGUAAUGAUUAAUAGGAACAGUCGGGGGCAUUAGUACUUGGCAGUCAGAGGUGAAAUUCUUGGAUUUGUCAAAGACUAACUGAUGCGAAAGCGUUUGCCAAGGAUGUUUUCAUUAAUCAAGAACGAAAGUUAGGGGAUCAAAGACGAUCAGAUACCGUCCUAGUCUUAACUAUAAACUAUACCGACUCGGAUUCAGAUGAACGUUUUAUUCAUUUGGGACCGUAGGAGAAAUCAAAGUCUUUGGGUUCUGGGGGGGAGUAUGGUCGCAAGGCUGAAACUUAAAGGAAUUGACGGUUUUGCACCACCAUGGAGUGGAGCCUGCGGCUUAAUUUGACUCAACACUGGGAAACUCAUCAGGGCAAGAAGAUUGUAGGAUUGACAGAUUGAGAGUUCUUUC
RNAcentral lists this ribosomal RNA (630 nucleotides) under uncultured eukaryote. RNAcentral describes it as "SSU rRNA". It matches the Rfam family "Eukaryotic small subunit ribosomal RNA", at positions 610 to 1261 of the family's 1831-position model. The record is from RNAcentral.